This 1551-nucleotide long non-coding RNA is filed under the name Homo sapiens (human). RNAcentral's name for it is "HSALNT0159862". The record is from RNAcentral. Lineage: Eukaryota; Metazoa; Chordata; Mammalia; Primates; Hominidae.
GUCACUUUUACUUUUAGGCCAACUCUCUGCAAGCUGUUGUCUCUUUUCUCAAUAGCUAAUUUUAAUUAUAAUAAAGAUUGUUUGAAGCCGUGUCCUAAGCGUUUUAUGGUUCCAAGAGGGUUAAGAAGCUGCGGUGCUCAUACACCUAGCAAGUGGAGGAGGCAGGGUCUGAGAAAGGUUUAAUUAGGGUUCUCCACCUGCCUGUAGACUCAUAAACUGGUUCUGCACGGAACGUGUCACAUGCCUAUUUUUUUUUUAAGUGUAAAGGAGGUCUGUUGUAACCAGGCAGGCACAGAUGCUACCAGUGUGAAUUAUAUCCUUUGGUUCUCUGUAGAGAUGAACAAGCACUUGCUUUGUCUGAUGUUCAAACUCAAGCUUCUCUAAAUAUGACCUUUAUUUUCAGUGGUGUUUUACUCUGCUUUUCAAAAUAAUUCUUUGAGUGGGAAAUUAAUUAGGGUAACAACUUCAUACCCUAGCAAAGUCUCCAGAAGAUUCCUGUGAGCUCCUAGGAGAGCUUAUACCCAUGUCCAGCUAAUGAUCUCACUCCUGUCAUGCUCUUUUUGUCUCCUACUCCAGCCUUCUGCUGGGCAGUGACUAUUGGCCAGUGCUGUCCCCUCAGGCGGGCCCUAUUGCCCUGGGUGCGGACAUCUCAUCUGCCUGCUGAAACUGCUGCUGUCAGACUGGAUCUCUUUCUAUCACCCGGGUUGGAGUGCAGUGGUACGAUCAUGGCUCACUGCAGCCUCUACCUCUCAACCUCCUGAGCUCAAGGGAUCCUCCUGCCUCAACCUCCAGAGUAGCUGAAACUACAGAUGCAUACCACCAUGCCUAGCUAAUAUUUUUAUUUUCUGUACAGACAUGGUCUCAUUAUGUUGCCCAAGGCUAGUCUAUGUUGCCCAGGCUGGCCUCCCAUCUCAGCCUUUCAAAGUGGUAGGAUUACAGGUGUGGAGCACUGCACCCAGCCUUACUCUCUGUUUCUACAAGUUCAACUUUUAAAAAUCCCACGUAUAAGUGAAACCAUCUAGUAUUCAUAUUUUUGUGUCUGGUCUAUUUUGUUUAGCAUAAUGUCUUCCAGUUUCAUUUAUAUUGUUGCAAAUGGCAGGAUUUCCUUUUUUAAAAAAAGGUGGAAUAGUGCAUUGCACAUGCACACACACACACACUACAUUUUCUUUAUCCAUUCAUCCAUUCAUAGACACUUAGGUUGAUCUCAUAUCUUGGCUGCUGUAAAUAUGGAGUGAUUUCAUUUCCUUUGGAUAUGUGCCAAGAAGUGGGAAUGCUGGAUCAUAUGGUAGUUCUAUUUUUAAUUUUUUGAAGAACCUCUAUACUGUUUUCCACAAUGACUGUACCAAUUUACAUUCCCACCAAUGGUGCACAAGGGUUCCCUUUUCUGUACAUCCUCAACAACACUAGUUAUCUUUUGGCUUUCUUACAAUAGCCAUUCUAACAGGUGUGAGAUGAUCUCUCACUGUGCUUUUGAUUAGCAUUUCCCUGAUGAUUAGUGGUGUUGAGCACCUUUUUAUAAAUCUGCUGGCUUAUAUACAUAUGUUCUUUGGA